Molecule: long non-coding RNA, 1135 nt
Filed under: Homo sapiens (human)
Lineage: Eukaryota; Metazoa; Chordata; Mammalia; Primates; Hominidae
Description: HSALNT0151968
Source: RNAcentral
CCCCAUACUGUUCUCGUGGUAGUGAAUAAGUCUCAGGAGAUCUGGUGGUUUUAUAAGGGGAAACCUCUUUCACUUGGAUCUCAUUCUGCCUUGCCUGCCACCAUGUAAGAUGUCCCUUGCUCUUCCACCAUGAUUGUGAGGCCUCUCCAGCCAUGUGAAACUGUCUGUGUAGGUUUUUUCUGGCUACUCCUGUUUCCUCCCACAUCCCAAAGGUGUGCCUAUGAGGUGAACUGCCAUGUCUACACAUCCCAGUAUGAGUGAGUGCAGGUGGUGUGCACGCGCCCUGCGAUGGGAGUGUGUCCUAUUCAGGGCUGGUUCCCGCCUUGCGCCCUAAGCUUUGGAGAUAGGCUUCGGCCACCCUCAACCCUGAACUGGAAUAAGCAGAAAACCACAUCUGGUCAGGAGCCCAGUGUGUCCCACUUGGACAAGAAUAGAAAUCUCUCUUCUGGAAUAUGACCUGAGAUAUCCUGAUGAAGCAGACCACACCUGCCCUCAGAGAUGACCUCAUGAGGAAGCUGAGCUGCAUAACAAACAUCUCUGCUGCUCAGCCACCUCCACUCUUUUUCAACAGACCUUGGAGAUAGCACAGCACCCACACCAAAAAAUCAGGAAGCUCUCUUAUCAGCAAUCUUUCUGUACCUAUGAAAUCAGACAUUCCAGCCAUGGCAGAACCUCCUGAGUGGGCCAGAGCCUCAGAGUCAGGAAAAGCUGGGGCCUAAUGAUGUUUCAAAUCAAAUCACUCUGUAGGGGAUUUUCCAUUUAACAUAUUGUGAUUGUGCAGUAACAUUAGUCUUUGCCAUUUAAUUUAUUAAAUUUUAAAAUCUUAUAAUAUCCUCAACACCGUCUUUGUCUCGAUUUAUACAUAUAACAUAUACAUUUUUAUUACAUAUUACAAACAAUUGAUAUAUAUGAAGAACUCUGUGUGUUUAAAUGCCAAUCACUGGUACACAGGCUCGAGGAAUGUAAUAUCCAGGAUUCAGUCUAGGAAACCAAAGUAAUUCUAGGUACUUGAUUGAAGAAGGUUUAAUAUUUGGAAUUUAAUGUUUUAAAAAUUAUUGAAGAGGCUGGGCACGGUGGCUCACACCUGUAAUCCCAGCACUUUGGGAGGCUGAGGCUGCCAGGUCAUGAGGUCAAG